AGAGUUUGAUCCUGGCUCAGGACGAACGCUGGCGGCGUGCUUAACACAUGCAAGUCGAGCGGAAAGGCCCUUCGGGGUACUCGAGCGGCGAACGGGUGAGUAACACGUGAGAAACCUGCCCCUUGCUCUGGGAUAGCUUCGGGAAACCGGAAUUAAUACCGGAUAUGACUGCGGUCGGCAUCGACUGCGGUGGAAAGAUU
RNAcentral lists this ribosomal RNA (200 nucleotides) under uncultured bacterium. RNAcentral describes it as "partial 16S ribosomal RNA". It matches the Rfam family "Bacterial small subunit ribosomal RNA", at positions 8 to 210 of the family's 1533-position model. The record is from RNAcentral.